Vicia villosa (hairy vetch) is the source of this 700-nucleotide long non-coding RNA. RefSeq lists it as uncharacterized. The record is from RefSeq and is a predicted model, not a curated record. NCBI's taxonomy places the organism in Eukaryota, Viridiplantae, Streptophyta, Magnoliopsida, Fabales, Fabaceae. The transcript is spliced from 2 exons.
AUACUUAAUUCUCAAAGUUCUUACCAAAUGAGUACUAUAUAAAGAACUUGAACAUUGUUAUGCAUAUUGCAAGAACAAAAGAAAAUAGAGUUGUAAGAAAAUCUUCAAACAAAAAUGGCGAAGCUCAUUUGGCAAUCUCUUCUAUCGGGACUUUUUUGCAUUGCGUUGGUCAUGGUUUCAGGAGCAACACUGGAUUCCCAAGACAAUUCUGUUUAUAAAUGCAUUGCGGCAUGCGACAAUAAUUGUGUCCAAACGUGCAGAACUGAGGGAUUUAAUAGUGGAGCUUGUUACGCAAUGUUUUGUUGUUGUUUCAAUAAAGGCAUGUAGAAUUAUGUAAUCAAGAGCAAUGGAGCAUUUGAUCAGUCACAAAUGAAUAGAAUAUAUGGGAAGCUAAAAUAAAUAAACAAUUAUGCAAUUUGAAUAUUAUGUAUUGUAGUAAUAGUUAAGUGAAGUAUCAAUAAAGUGAUCAACAUUAUCAUAGUUUGAAUGCAUAUUAGAACGAGUAUCUACACAUCAGAAUCAAAAGCUAAGGGAUAGUCUUGACACUUUUUUUUUGGUCGGUUUGUAUUUUUUUGGAGUUUUCUUGUUUUUUCUCUGUGUUCCAUCCUAAAUUUUACACUUGAUUGGAUUGUAAUUUCCAAUGUUCUGAGUUUAGUCUUAUUAUUUUGUCUAUUAAGCAUAUAUUAUUUUCUUUUUCUAA